AGUGAACGCUGGCGGUAGGCCUAACACAUGCAAGUCGAACGGCAGCACAGUAAGAGCUUGCUCUUACGGGUGGCGAGUGGCGGACGGGUGAGGAAUACAUCGGAAUCUACUUUUUCGUGGGGGAUAACGUAGGGAAACUUACGCUAAUACCGCAUACGACCUACGGGUGAAAGCAGGGGAUCUUCGGACCUUGCGCGAUUGAAUGAGCCGAUGUCGGAUUAGCUAGUUGGCGGGGUAAAGGCCCACCAAGGCGACGAUCCGUAGCUGGUCUGAGAGGAUGAUUCGCCCCCACUGAACUUAGAACCGGGUCAGAAUCCUACGGGAGGCCGCCGUGGGGAAUUUUUGACAAAUGGCGGAAGCCCGAUCCAGCCAUACCGCGUGGGUGAAGAAGGCCUUCGGGUUGUAAAGCCCUUUUGUUGGGAAAGAAAAGCAGCAGGUUAAUACCCCGCUGUUCUGACGGUACCCAAAGAAUAAGCACCGGCUAACUUCGUG
This 492-nucleotide ribosomal RNA is filed under the name uncultured bacterium. RNAcentral describes it as "partial 16S ribosomal RNA". It matches the Rfam family "Bacterial small subunit ribosomal RNA", at positions 29 to 507 of the family's 1533-position model. The record is from RNAcentral.